AGUGAACGCUGGCGGUAGGCCUAACACAUGCAAGUCGAACGGCAGCACAGGAGAGCUUGCUCUCUGGGUGGCGAGUGGCGGACGGGUGAGGAAUACAUCGGAAUCUACUCUGUCGUGGGGGAUAACGUAGGGAAACUUACGCUAAUACCGCAUACGACCUACGGGUGAAAGCAGGGGACCUUCGGGCCUUGCGCGAUUGAAUGAGCCGAUGUCGGAUUAGCUAGUGGGCGGGUAAAGGCCCACCAAGGCGACGAUCCGUAGCUGGUCUGAGAGGAUGAUCAGCCACACUGGAACUGAGACACGGUCCAGACUCCUACGGGAGGCAGCAGUGGGGAAUAUUGGACAAUGGGCGCAAGCCUGAUCCAGCCAUACCGCGUGGGUGAAGAAGGCCUUCGGGUUGUAAAGCCCUUUUGUUGGGAAAGAAAUCCAGCUGGCUAAUACCCGGUUGGGAUGACAGUACCCAAAGAAUAAGCACCGGCUAACUUCGUGCCAGCCGCCGCAGUAA
This 505-nucleotide ribosomal RNA is filed under the name uncultured bacterium. RNAcentral's name for it is "partial 16S ribosomal RNA". It matches the Rfam family "Bacterial small subunit ribosomal RNA", at positions 29 to 523 of the family's 1533-position model. The record is from RNAcentral.